AAAAAUCCCAUGAUGAAGAGAGUAGUCAUAUCAAGUUCAUCUAUCAGCGAUUUAGGAAUGGUGGAAGCCUAAAAUGAACGGAAUGAUGAAGCGCACUUUCUAGGAGCAUGCCUGAAAAUUUUUCCAGUAGGGCAUGCCGGCCGGCUGUCCGUUAAUACGCUGCGAGUGGUUCAGAAAUGAACAAUCAGAGUGGUACCGCGGGAAAACGCCCGUCUCUUUU
This 220-nucleotide non-coding RNA is filed under the name Bacillus sp. (in: firmicutes). Its description in RNAcentral is "Bacillus sp. T-box sequence". It matches the Rfam family "T-box leader". From Rfam's summary of the family: Uncharged tRNA acts as the effector for transcription antitermination of genes in the T-box leader family. The record is from RNAcentral. Lineage: Bacteria; Bacillati; Bacillota; Bacilli; Caryophanales; Bacillaceae.